CCUACGGGAGGCUGCAGUGGGGAAUAUUGGGCAAUGGGCGCAAGCCUGACCCAGCAACGCCGCGUGAAGGACGAAGGUUUUCGGGUUGUAAACUUCUUUUGACAGGGAAGAGUAGAAGACGGUACCUGUCGAAUAAGCCACGGCUAACUACGUGCCAGCAGCUGCGGUAAUACGUAGGUGGCAAGCGUUGUCCGGAUUUACUGGGUGUAAAGGGCGUGUAGCCGGGUUGACAAGUCAGAUGUGAAAUCCUGCGGGUUAACCGCAGACCUGCAUUUGAAACUGUUGAUCUUGAGUACUGGAGAGGCAGGCGGAAGGCGUAGUGUAGCGGUGAAAUGCGUAGAUAUUAGGAAGAACACCAGUGGCGAAGGCAGUAUGCUGGACAGCAACUGACGGUGAGGCGCGAAAGCGUGGGGAGCGAACAGGAUUAGAUACCCCAGUAGUC
This 442-nucleotide ribosomal RNA is filed under the name uncultured bacterium. Its description in RNAcentral is "partial 16S ribosomal RNA". It matches the Rfam family "Bacterial small subunit ribosomal RNA", at positions 338 to 795 of the family's 1533-position model. The record is from RNAcentral.